This 1728-nucleotide ribosomal RNA is filed under the name Triticum aestivum (bread wheat). RNAcentral's name for it is "partial small subunit ribosomal RNA". Lineage: Eukaryota; Viridiplantae; Streptophyta; Magnoliopsida; Poales; Poaceae. The record is from RNAcentral.
AUGGCAUCUCUCAAGGAAAACCUGCAGCUGGAAGAACCACUUCUUGAGGGUUCUGUGGUACACAGAGGGGACCGAGUUGUUGACAUCAAAGGAACAACAACUCCUGGAGCGAAGCACCGUACCGGCAGUUGGAAAGCAUGCAAGUUCAUCUUAGUGACUGAGUGCUUCGAGGAGCUAGCGUACUACGGGAUCCAGUUCAACCUGGUAACCUUCCUCAAGACGAUAUUGCAGGAGAGCAAUGUGUCUGCGGCGAGGAACUACACCAACUGGCAGGGGACUUGCUACAUCGCCCCCCUCGUCGGAGCUAUCGUCGCCGACUCCUAUCUGGGCAGAUACCUUACCACGCUGGCCUUCUUCGCAGUUUACCUAAUCGGAAUGGCUGCGAUGUCAGUUUCAGCGUCGUUCCCGGUGGCGUGCACCGGGCUCGACUGCCUGCAGGAUGUUGGCUCGUCGCCUUCGUCCCAGUCCGCCGUGUUCUUCCUCGGCCUGUACAUGAUGGCCAUCGGGGCCGGCGGCAUCAAGCCCUGCGUCUCCUCCUUCGGCGCCGACCAGUUCGACGACGGCGUCCCGGCGGAGAGGCUGAAGAAGAACUCCUUCUUCAACUGGUUCUUCUUCUCCAUCUACAUCGGCAGCUUCGUCUCCGGCACCGUCGUCGUGUGGGUGCAGGACCACUGCGGGUGGGUCGUAGGCCUCUGGAUCCCCACCCUGUUCAUCGCGCUGGCCAUCGCGAGCUUCUUGCUGGGCUCCGGCUCGUACAGGGUGCAGAAGCCUCUGGGAAGCCCGCUGGCAAGAGUUUCCCAGGUCGUCGUCGCGGCCGUGCGGAAACGGAAUGUAAGUCUGCCGCGUGAUGCUUCUCUCCUCCACGAGCUCUCGGAGGUUGAAUCAAUGGCGGAGUCGGACGGUGCCAAGAAAUUGCAGCAUACACCAGUGCUCAGUUUCCUGGACAAGGCUGCAGUGGUCUCUUCGGCGGAGGAGCUUUACUCGGAUCCAUGGAGGCUUUGCACUGUCACGCAAGUGGAGGAGCUCAAGAUCGUGAUCGGCAUGCUCCCGAUCUGGGCCACCGGCAUCGUUUACUUCUCCGUCCUCGCGCAGUUCUCCUCGACGUUUCUGGAGCAAGGGAGGAUGAUGGACACGGCGAUCGGCGCCUUCGCGAUCCCUCCGGCGUCCCUGGCUUCCUUCGACGCCGUCAGCGUCAUCCUCUUCGUGCCCGUCUACGACAGGGUGCUCAUCCCGGCGGCGAGGAGGUUCACCGGCAACGAGCGGGGGUUCUCGGAGCUGCAGCGGUUCGGCGUCGGCCUGUUCCUCUCCGUGCUGGUCAUGGCGGCCGCGGCGAUGGUGGAGGCGCGGCGGCUGGCGCUGGACCGGGUGGCGGCGGCGCCGAUGUGCAUCCUGUGGCAGGUGCCGCAGUACCUCCUGGUGGGCGCCAGCGUGGUGUUCGCGUGCGUCGGGCAGUCGGAGUUCUUCUACAACGAGGCGCCGGAGUCCAUGCGGAGCCUCUGCUCCGCGCUGGGGCUCCUCACGGUGUCGCUCGGGAGCUACCUGAGCUCGCUCGUGGUGACCGUCGUGUCUGGCGUCACGACGCGGGGCGGCGGGCCCGGGUGGAUACCGGAUAACCUCAACGAGGGCCACCUCGACCGGUUCUUCUGGCUCAUCGCUGCGCUUAGCGCGCUCAAUCUCGCGGUUUUCGUCUGGUGUGCCAAGAGAUACAAGUGUAAGAAUGUCUCUUGA